Clupea harengus (Atlantic herring) is the source of this 489-nucleotide long non-coding RNA. RefSeq lists it as uncharacterized. NCBI's taxonomy places the organism in Eukaryota, Metazoa, Chordata, Actinopteri, Clupeiformes, Clupeidae. The record is from RefSeq and is a predicted model, not a curated record.
GGUGUAUUCACUAUCCUAUAAAGAUUUUUACACUUUUACAACCGGUUGAUUAAUGCUGUCAUUAAUCCCUCUUUGUCUUUCUCAACUGCAGGACAUCACCAGACACUGCAUACCCCACCUUCACCUUGGAACAAACAACAAUAACAGGAAAGGCAAAGAAGAUGGAGGAAGAGUUGUCAUGCUGCGUACCUGGUGUGGCCUCCGAGGGUCCGCGUCUCCACGCUGACGGAGGUUUGUUGGUGGAACAGCCGCUGGAAUGCUGCACCUGACCCGUGACGCACAUCUGGGGCUUUCCACUCCUCCGUCGGUCCCUCUCUCCUUCCCUCCCUCCUGUCUCCCCUCCUUAGAGUGAAGGAAGAAUAACAGACGGGUCAAAACAGGAAAGAAGCCUCCGCACGACCCAUCGGGGUCACUCCUCUGAGAGUUCGGAGACAUGAGUGAGUGAGUGUGUGGUGUCUGUUCAACGGCUCCCAUGGAUGAGUAGUACGU